CAGUCGCCGCGGUAAGACGAACCGUACGAACGUUAUUCGGAAUUACUGGGCUUAAAGGGUGCGUAGGCGGCGCGGAAAGUUGGGUGUGAAAGCCCUCGGCUCAACCGAGGAACUGCGCCCAAAACUGCCGUGCUUGAGGGAGACAGAGGUGAGCGGAACUAAGGGUGGAGCGGUGAAAUGCGUUGAUAUCCUUAGGAACACCGGUGGCGAAAGCGGCUCACUGGGUCUCUUCUGACGCUGAGGCACGAAAGCUAGGGGAGCGAACGGGAUUAGAUACCCCCGUAGUCCCUGUCUCUUAUAC
Molecule: ribosomal RNA, 301 nt
Filed under: uncultured bacterium
Lineage: Bacteria
Description: partial 16S ribosomal RNA
Rfam family: Bacterial small subunit ribosomal RNA
Source: RNAcentral